This is a non-coding RNA of Mirounga angustirostris (Northern elephant seal), 103 nucleotides long. The record is from RefSeq and is a predicted model, not a curated record. NCBI's taxonomy places the organism in Eukaryota, Metazoa, Chordata, Mammalia, Carnivora, Phocidae.
GCCCUUUUCUCCUCAGUCCGUGCUGAAGGCCAAGAUCCGCCCUUGAGGAUGGCUGUCAGGGCUGCCACACGCUGGCAGGCUUGUUUUCCUGCCUCAGACAUCU